Molecule: long non-coding RNA, 456 nt
Organism: Lates calcarifer (barramundi perch)
Lineage: Eukaryota; Metazoa; Chordata; Actinopteri; Centropomidae
Exons: 2
Source: RefSeq, a predicted model, not a curated record
GUGUCUGGAGGAGAAGCAGAGGGAAGGUGUAAAUGGGGAUAAAUUAGUAUUUCAGGCUGCACAUCACCUGUCACAUAUUAGCCCUUUUGUGACUUAACCAUGUUGCUGGACCGCCUGCAAGGUGGAGCCGUGCUCCUGAGACAUGGCCAUCGGGAGGCGCUCCUGGACCCACAACUACAACCGCAACAACAUAAUGCAUGGUAGUGAACGUUGUAAUCAGUGAGUUUGUGAGAGAGCAUAUCUGCACUGCAUGUUCUUUAAAUUUAACAUUGUAUAAAAAUAUGCCUGCAUAUCUUAUAUUGAACAAUUGUACAUAAAAAUGUCAUGUCCCACGUGUACACCUUGCAUUCAAUUCAAAAUGGAUCUUUAUUGUUAACAGUUAGCCCCACAGUUUAUAUCACUGUGAGGUUAACAUGUAUUUUUAGAAAGUACUGAAAAUAAAACAGAGAAAUAUCC